This 252-nucleotide ribosomal RNA is filed under the name uncultured bacterium. RNAcentral's name for it is "partial 16S ribosomal RNA". It matches the Rfam family "Bacterial small subunit ribosomal RNA", at positions 524 to 776 of the family's 1533-position model. The record is from RNAcentral.
UACGUAGGGUGCGAGCGUUAAUCGGAAUUACUGGGCGUAAAGCGUGCGCAGGCGGUUUUUAAGACAGGCGUGAAAUCCCCGGGCUUAACCUGGGAACUGCGCUUGUGACUGGAAGGCUAGAGUACGGCAGAGGGGGUGGAAGUUCCACGUGUAGCAGUGAAAUGCGUAGAGAUGUGGAGGAACACCGAUGGCGAAGGCAGCCCCCUGGGCCGAUACUGACGCUCAUGCACGAAAGCGUGGGGAGCAAACAGG